RNAcentral lists this unclassified non-coding RNA (294 nucleotides) under Hevea brasiliensis (rubber tree). Lineage: Eukaryota; Viridiplantae; Streptophyta; Magnoliopsida; Malpighiales; Euphorbiaceae. The record is from RNAcentral.
GUGCCCAAGUAGAUAGCAUAGCCUCUUGUGGAUCUUCUGUCGUGUGGAUCAUUGCCCCAGUCACUAUCAGCAUAACACUGGAGAUGCAUCGAUGGUGUGUUGGACAAAAACAAACCUUCGGACUUAGUAGCUGCUAAAUACCAAAGUAAUCUUUUAACAACUUUCCAAUGGUCCUUGGAAUGAGCGUGCAUGAAUUGACACAGCUUGUUGACCAUAAAUGCUAUGUCUGGCCAAGUGAGAGUCAAAUAUUAUAAGCUUCCAACCACCUGUCUGUACAGAACUAGAUCAUGAAAU